GCUCGUAUGGCCUAAUGGUAAUGGCGCCAGUAGAAAUUCAAGUUGAACCAUGAGAAAGUACGACUGGAAAUCCCCGUUCGAUUCGGGGUACGAGCA
Molecule: non-coding RNA, 96 nt
Organism: Mycena crocata
Lineage: Eukaryota; Fungi; Basidiomycota; Agaricomycetes; Agaricales; Mycenaceae
Source: the annotation of a GenBank genome assembly